GAUGAACGCUGGCUCCAGGCUUAGCACAUGCAAGUCGAGGGGAAACGACGGGGAAGCUUGCUUCCCCGGGCGUCGACCGGCGCACGGGUGAGUAACGCGUAUCCAACCUGCCUCUGACUGAGGGAUAACCCGUCGAAAGUCGGCCUAAUACCUCAUGGUAUCGUCUGCGGGCAUCCAACGACGAUUAAAGAUUUCAUCGGUCAGGGAUGGGGAUGCGUCUGAUUAGCUUGUUGGCGGGGUAACGGCCCACCAAGGCUACGAUCAGUAGGGGUUCUGAGAGGAAGGUCCCCCACAUUGGAACUGAGACACGGUCCAAACUCCUACGGGAGGCAGCAGUGAGGAAUAUUGGUCAAUGGGCGAGAGCCUGAACCAGCCAAGUAGCGUGCAGGAAGACGGCCCUAUGGGUUGUAAACUGCUUUUAUGCGGGGAUAAAGUGAGGGACGUGUCCCUCAUUGCAGGUACCGCAUGAAUAAGGACCGGCUAAUUCCGUG
This 491-nucleotide ribosomal RNA is filed under the name uncultured bacterium. RNAcentral describes it as "partial 16S ribosomal RNA". It matches the Rfam family "Bacterial small subunit ribosomal RNA", at positions 28 to 507 of the family's 1533-position model. The record is from RNAcentral.